This is a long non-coding RNA of Ixodes scapularis (black-legged tick), 397 nucleotides long. RefSeq lists it as uncharacterized. The transcript is spliced from 4 exons. The record is from RefSeq and is a predicted model, not a curated record. Lineage: Eukaryota; Metazoa; Arthropoda; Arachnida; Ixodida; Ixodidae.
GCUACAUCAAAGGAGGGAAGCAGUUCUGCAGGAAGACAAAGCUCCAGUGUGCCGGACGACCUGGGAAAUUUUGCUCCCGAGAUUUGUGUGCAAGGUAGCAGCCACUCGCAAGCGCCCUCAGAUUCCUCCGAGAACUGCAGCAUUUUAGACAGAGUCGGAUUGAGAGGCCUUGCAGCACUUCCGACGCUGGAACACUGUCAUCAGCAAGGAGCAGAGUGCCAGCGGGGAGUAGGAGGUCAAAACAGCUUUCUUUUGUAGGCGUCUGAGGUUUCGCUUGCAUACUUUAUACAUAUCAGACCACAGCAGUUUGUUUUGAAGUUCAUUAUGGCAGGCCUUUUGUAUGUGCAUUUGUUUUCUCUUUCAUACUUGCAUUUCACUGCCUGUGAACAUCGUUUCU